UACAGAGGUCUCAAGCGUUGUUCGGAUUCAUUGGGCGUAAAGGGUGCGUAGGUGGCGCGUUAAGUCAGGUGUGAAAUUUCGGGGCUUAACUCCGAAACUGCAUUUGAUACUGGCGUGCUUGAGGACUGGAGAGGAGACUGGAAUUCAUGGUGUAGCAGUGAAAUGCGUAGAGAUCAUGAGGAAGACCAGUGGCGAAGGCGGGUCUCUGGACAGUUCCUGACACUGAGGCACGAAGGCCAGGGGAGCAAACGGG
RNAcentral lists this ribosomal RNA (253 nucleotides) under uncultured bacterium. RNAcentral describes it as "partial 16S ribosomal RNA". It matches the Rfam family "Bacterial small subunit ribosomal RNA", at positions 524 to 776 of the family's 1533-position model. The record is from RNAcentral.